Molecule: non-coding RNA, 94 nt
Organism: Phlebopus sp. FC_14
Lineage: Eukaryota; Fungi; Basidiomycota; Agaricomycetes; Boletales; Boletinellaceae
Source: the annotation of a GenBank genome assembly
GGCGCUAUAGUGUAGUGGUUAUCACUCGGGAUUUUGAGUACUGACGCAAGUCAGCGGUCUUCCCGAAACCCAGGUUCGAACCCUGGUAGCGCCU